This 2763-nucleotide long non-coding RNA is filed under the name Vigna radiata. RNAcentral describes it as "long non-coding RNA (VRAD_LNC006294)". Lineage: Eukaryota; Viridiplantae; Streptophyta; Magnoliopsida; Fabales; Fabaceae. The record is from RNAcentral.
AGGUACUGCCUUUGGGCAGGCGCACUAGGGUGCUAAUACCUUCCUUACGCGUAACCGAUUCCCGAACCUAAAAAUCUGUUUUCGUAGACCAUACUUUUAUUUUAGGUUUUUCCAUAGUUUUCCAUAAUAAAUUAUGGUGGCGACUCCCAAAAUAUUUUCUAAAACUCGUUUGUUUUUCGGUUUGCCGUCCCGUCGCGAUCCCGGUUGCGACAGACAUUCUUAUGUAAAAAUGUAAUUUUGAGAUUUCCAAACAAUAUUCAUGGUUAUGAAAAAAAGAUUGUUAAUAUUUCAUAGGUGUUUUGUAGAAAUGUUUUGAAAAAAAUAGCACCAUGAUAUCUCAAAAAAAUUUGAGAUGUUACAAGAAACCUAAAUAUUUACUAGGUAGUUGUACCUACUUUUUCACCUACAUAUAUUACUUUAAUUUAUUAUUUAAGUUGUAAAUAAUUUAUAUUUAAAAUAUUAAAAUACAUUAUUUGUUGUAAUUAAUUUUUUUAUUUGAAGUAAAAUAUUUAUAAUUAUAUUUCAAUUUUUUACGAUUUUUCUUUAUUAAAAAACAAUUGUUUAGUAAAUUAAAAUGAAUUAAAGAAAAUAUAAAAUGGAAAAGUGAAGUUGUAGGUGGGUGCACGACUUUAAUAGUUGAAGUCGUGUACCCUCCUACAACUUCAAUUUUCAAUUUUUUAUUUUCUUUAAUUCAUUUUAAUUUGUUAAAAAUAUGUUUUUAAUUAAGAAAAUUGAUAAAAAAUUACUUCAUGAAGAAAAAAUUAACGAAAAAAAUAAUACAACUUCUAAAACAUAAAUAAUUUAUUUUUCCAAAUAUAUUUUAAUUUGUUUUUAUUUUUUUUUAUAUUUUGUUAAUUUAGGUUUUUAUAACAAAAAAAUUGAAAAAAUUUUAUUUAUUUAAGACAAAAUUAAUAUGAAAUAAUAAAAAAUAGUAUAACAAAAAUACAUUUUAUUUUCAAUAUAUUUCAAUUUUUUAUGAUUUUUCUUUAUUAAAAAAUAAAGUAAACUAAAUUAAUUAAAGAAAAUAAAAAAUAGAAAAGUGAAGUUGAAGAGGGUGCACGACUUUAAUAGUUGAAGUCUUGCACCUCCUACAACUUCACUUUUCCAUUUUUUAUUUUCUUUAAUUCAUUUUAAUUCGUUAAAAAUAUGAUUUUAAUUAAUAAAAAUUGAUAAAAUAUUACAUUAUGAAGAUAAAAUUAACAAAAAAAUAAUAAAACUUUUAAAACAAAUAAUUUUUUUUCCAAAUAUAUUUUAUUAUUAUUUUUUUUUAUUUUUAUUUAGUUAAUAUUAGCUUUUUAUAAACAAAAAAACUAAAAAAAAUUUCAUUUCUUUAAAAAAAAAUUAAUAUGAAAUAAAAAAAAAAUUAUAUAACACAAAUGCAUUUUAUUUUCAAUAUAUUUCAAUUUUUUAAAAUUUUUUUAUUAAAAAACAAUUUUUAGUAAAUUAAAAUGAAUUAAAGAAAAUAAAAAAUUGAAAAGUGAAGUUGUAGGGGGUGCACGACUUUAAUAGUUGAAGUCGUGCAGCCUCCUACAACUUCACUUUUUCAUUUUUUAUUUUCUUUAAUUCAUUUUAAUUUGUUAAAAUUAUGUUUUUAAUUAAAAAAGUUGAUAAAAAUUAGUUUAUGAAGAAAAAAUUAAUAAAAAAAUUAUACAACUUCUAAAACAUAAAUUUUUUUUUUCAAGUCAAACUUCGUCAAAUGAAACUAUAUCUAAAAAUGAAAGAUAAUUGUCAAAUUUAAUAAACAUGCCUACAACCAUGCCUGUAACCAUGCAUAUAAAGCUAUACUGAGCUGCUGGUGUCAACACCAUGCAUGCAAAACUAUACUAACUGACCUUUCCUGCAGAAACUGAACUUCACAAAUCGUAUUUCAUAUUAUUAUUAUAUAUGUAUAUACAUAUGUAUGUAUAUAUACAUAUGUAUGUAUAUGUAUACAUAUGUAUGUAUAGAUAUACAUAUGUAUGUAUAGAUAUACAUAUCUAUGUAUAGAUAUGCAUAUCUAUGUAUAGAUAUACUUAUCUAUGUAUAUACAUAUACAUAUAUAUGCAUAUACAUAUACAUAUAUAUAUAUNUUUCCAUAAUAAAUUAUGGUGGCGACUCCCAAAAUAUUUUCUAAAACUCGUUUGUUUUUCGGUUUGCCGUCCCGUCGCGAUCCCGGUUGCGACAGCUGGCGACUCCACUGGGGACUGCAUAGAGAAUCAGGCCUUAUUAAUUAAAUGUUCNAAAUUGAUGUGGUUUUUCUUUUUUUUAUUUUAGUUUUAUUUUAUUUUAUUUUUAUUUUUUUAUUUUUCCUUUCUUUAUUAUAUGAUUGUCUUUAUUUAUUCUUGUAAUUCAUUUAUAUGCUUUUAUUCUCAUUAUUAUUACUGUACAUAUCAUGAGUGNGACCCUAUACCCGGGUNUGAGUGUAACAUAGAAUUAGAGGGGUUGUGUAGNGGUGUCACGUCUGGACUAAUUCCANUUUGGCUAUCGUGAAAACCCCAGCCAGUUGCUGUUCUCUUUACGUGCAAUUUCACACCUAGUUGCGAUCAACUGUUGUGGAAAAGCUGUGAAAAGGACCAUAGCUCUGGUGGCCUUGAUUUUAGGUUUAGGAAGNCUUCCCUGUGAGAUUGCAUAUACAAUGCUUAGACCUUAAGACAUUGGACCUACCUAAACACAUAAAACAUGUUGGCUUUUAAUCAUUAUUUGGCAUAUAUGUUUUCAUGCAUCAUAUGCAUUAGCAACAUUUUUAUCAUUUUUCCUUCAUUUUCUUUAUACAUAACAAUAAAU